This 606-nucleotide ribosomal RNA is filed under the name uncultured bacterium. RNAcentral's name for it is "bacterial SSU rRNA". It matches the Rfam family "Bacterial small subunit ribosomal RNA", at positions 338 to 944 of the family's 1533-position model. The record is from RNAcentral.
CCUACGGGAGGCAGCAGUAAGGAAUAUUGGUCAAUGGAGGCAACUCUGAACCAGCCAUGCCGCGUGCAGGAAGACUGCCCUAUGGGUUGUAAACUGCUUUUAUACGGGAAUAAACCUUGAUUCGUGAAUCGAGCUGAAUGUACCGUAAGAAUAAGGAUCGGCUAACUCCGUGCCAGCAGCCGCGGUAAUACGGAGGAUCCAAGCGUUAUCCGGAUUUAUUGGGUUUAAAGGGAGCGUAGGCGGCCUAUUAAGUCAGGGGUGAAAGACGGUGGCUCAACCAUCGCAGUGCCUUUGAUACUGGUAGGCUUGAAUGUAGUUGAGGUAGGCGGAAUGUGACAAGUAGCGGUGAAAUGCAUAGAUAUGUCACAGAACACCGAUUGCGAAGGCAGCUUACUAAGCUAUGAUUGACGCUGAGGCUCGAAAGCGUGGGGAUCAAACAGGAUUAGAUACCCUGGUAGUCCACGCCCUAAACGAUAGAUAACUCGAUGUUGGCGAUAUACAGUCAGCGUCCAAGCGAAAGCGUAAGUUAUCCACCUGGGGAGUACGCCCGCAAGGGUGAAACUCAAAGAUUGAGCGNGAGAGNGCGAGACGACGACGAGGGAGAGG